RNAcentral lists this ribosomal RNA (608 nucleotides) under Rhynchogastrema complexa. RNAcentral's name for it is "LSU rRNA". It matches the Rfam family "Eukaryotic large subunit ribosomal RNA", at positions 11 to 633 of the family's 3401-position model. Lineage: Eukaryota; Fungi; Basidiomycota; Tremellomycetes; Tremellales; Rhynchogastremaceae. The record is from RNAcentral.
UCAGGUAGGGCUACCCGCUGAACUUAAGCAUAUCAAUAAGCGGAGGAAAAGAAACUAACAAGGAUUCCCCUAGUAACGGCGAGUGAACCGGGAUGAGCUCAAAUUUGAAAUCUGGCGUCCUCAGGGCGUCCGAGUUGUAAUCUAUAGAGGCGUUUUCCGUGCCGGACCGUGUCCAAGUCCCUUGGAACAGGGUAUCAAAGAGGGUGACAAUCCCGUACUUGACACGACGACCGGUGCUCUGUGAUACGUCUUCUACGAGUCGAGUUGUUUGGGAAUGCAGCUCAAAAUGGGUGGUGAGUUCCAUCUAAAGCUAAAUAUUGGCGAGAGACCGAUAGCGAACAAGUACCGUGAGGGAAAGAUGAAAAGCACUUUGGAAAGAGAGUUAAACAGUACGUGAAAUUGUUGAAAGGGAAACGAUUGAAGUCAGUCGUGACUGUUGGGCUCAGCAGGUUCUGCCUGUGUAUUCCCUUCAGUCGGGUCAACAUCAGUUUUGACCGGUGGAUAAGGGCAGCAGGAAUGUGGCACCCUCGGGUGUGUUAUAGCCUGUCGUCGCAUACAUCGGUUGAGACUGAGGAACGCAGCUCGCCUUUAUGGCCGGGGUCGCCCAC